ACACAUUUUACCUUGAUGGAUCUUUGGCCUUCCCUCAUGGCUCAGACAGUAAAGAAUCUGUCUGUGUUGCAGGAAACCCAGAUUUGAUCCCUGAAUCGAGAGCAUCUCCUGGAGAAGGGAAUGGCUAACCAUUCCAGUAUUCUUGCUUGGAGAAUUCCAUGGACAAAGGAGCGGAGCCUGGAAGGCUACAGUCCAUGGGGUCAUAAAGAGUCAGACACAGCUUACCAACUGAACACACAAGCACAAUGGUUUGUUUCAAGGAGAUGACAUGUGGGAUUCUGAGAGAUGCUGCUGCCCAUGACGUGUUGGAAUUAUCAUGAUCUACUACCCAGUUUGGAUUUCAUCCAGUGGUCAAGAGCUUUGCAUGGUAGACAGCAAGGGUCGGAUUUCUAAAAAGAGUAAACCAGGUAAGAUUUGAGGGAGUCAUCUGAUCAUUUAUCAUUUGUUUAGGCAUUUCUAAGGGCUUUAGAGUGCUGCCAAGGUGUAUUGAAUAAUGCGUAACUUCUCUGUUUGCUUUCUAAGUCCACUCAACAGGUUGUUGAAGAAUGGUGCUCCCUUGAAUUCAGGAGAAUGGAUAUAGUAAUGAUUGAGUUCUUUUUUCUCAAGAGGAGGGGAGGAGUUAAGAUAACGUAAAGCAGACACAAGAUACUAUGGAUGAUGGUUUAAUGCAAUAGCCCCAAAUUGCAAGCUAAGGCAGUUUCCUCUUUAAGGAACUACUCUGAACUAUAAUGGAAUAAGCAGUUGUACUUUUUGAAGGUUGAGUAGGGAAAGUGUUGCAGUUUACAGCAUAUGAUCUUACAUAUAUGCUUCAAAGUUAUUCCAGUUUAGAAGGUAUACCAUUAUUUUGCCUUUUAUUUUUUGAAAGUAUUUAUCAUUCUAAAUUCUGUUCAUCUAAGUAUGAUUUGAUAUGGUAACAUAAUGACCUAGUCCAUUGUGGCUUUUGGAAUUUAAAAUGUAACACAUGCUCUUAUUCAACUUGUCUCUGGGACUUUUGUCUGUUUCAUUCUGGAACCUCUUUUCAACUAUCAGAUCUGAUCUUUCUCUUUAACAUUCUUCCUCCUCUAUAACAUAAUUAAAAUUUGUUAGUAACAGUUACUUGGGGCAACUACAUUAUUCCUAUCUUCUGAUUUUAAGACUAUCAGAGCUCUUAUAUCAAAAUUUUAUGAAUCCCAAAUCAAGAUUUCCUUUAAGCUCAAUUAUCAAAACAGAAAAUAUAUGUAAAAUUUAAUCAUUUAGAAAACUUGAACUCUUUCAGUUGGAGUUUUUGUUUGUUUUUUUUAAAAUACAGCUUUUUUAUUUUCUGAAAAUAAAGCAAAUGGAACUCAGUUAAUAAAUUAUAGG
This 1341-nucleotide long non-coding RNA is filed under the name Bos indicus x Bos taurus (hybrid cattle). RNAcentral's name for it is "lncRNA (ENSBIXG00000022137.1)". The record is from RNAcentral. Lineage: Eukaryota; Metazoa; Chordata; Mammalia; Artiodactyla; Bovidae.